Frankliniella occidentalis (western flower thrips) is the source of this 714-nucleotide long non-coding RNA. RefSeq lists it as uncharacterized. NCBI's taxonomy places the organism in Eukaryota, Metazoa, Arthropoda, Insecta, Thysanoptera, Thripidae. The record is from RefSeq and is a predicted model, not a curated record. The transcript is spliced from 2 exons.
AAGUUAGUCUCCAAGACCUUUGCAUAAUGUUGUCUGUGGUAUUUUUAAUUUUUUGUCACUGUAUAAAGGUAUCCUAUAACAAUGUCAUAACUUUUGUUUAGCUGGUGUAUACGGAUUCCAUUUAAACUAUAUAUCCUUGUUUCAAUGUCACUUUUGUGCAACUUUGUUUAUUUUCACCCUUGUGUUAUACACUUUAUUGAAGAAAUGCACGAUUUCUUUUAAGUUGGUCUCCAAGACCUUUGCAUAAUGUUAUCUGUGGUAUUUUUAAUUAUUUUUUUUUUGUCUCUGUAUAUAGGUUUUCCAUUAACAAUUUAACAAUGCUUUUUUGUUUCAAUUUCACUUUUGUGCAAUUUUGUUUUAAUUUCACCCUUCUGUUGUACGCUUUAUGGAAGGAAUGUACAAUUUCCUCAAGGUAAGUCUCAAAGACCUCCUCUGCAUAAUGUUGUAUGUAGUAUUUUUAAUUAUUUUUCCUCUCCAUCUACGCAUCCUAUUAUAACAAUGUCAUAACUUUUAUUAUGUAGUACUCAUAGUUUUCAGUAAUUUUUUUCAAGCUGUGUACUACAUUUAAGACAUGCACAAUGCUCUGAAGUGAGUUGCAGAGGACCUCCUUUGCAUUAAGAAUGUUAUCUGUCUACUGCUGAAGGAGAGGAUUAACUUAGGCUACAAAAUACCAUGUAUUACAACAAAUUUGGCCAAUAAAUAAUAAUAAAAAUC